GACGAACGCUGGCGGCGUGCUUAACACAUGCAAGUCGAACGGAAAGGCCCUGCUUUUGUGGGGUGCUCGAGUGGCGAACGGGUGAGUAACACGUGAGUAACCUGCCCUUGACUUUGGGAUAACUUCAGGAAACUGGGGCUAAUACCGGAUAGGAGCUCCUGCUGCAUGGUGGGGGUUGGAAAGUUUCGGCGGUUGGGGAUGGACUCGCGGCUUAUCAGCUUGUUGGUGGGGUAGUGGCUUACCAAGGCUUUGACGGGUAGCCGGCCUGAGAGGGUGACCGGCCACAUGGGGACUGAGAGACGGCCCAGACUCCUACGGGAGGCAGCAGUGGGGAAUAUUGCACAAUGGGCGGAAGCCUGAUGCAGCGACGCCGCGUGCGGGAUGACGGCCUUCGGGUUGUAAACCGCUUUCGCCUGUGACGAAGCGUGAGUGACGGUAAUGGGUAAAGAAGCACCGGCUAACUACGUG
This 468-nucleotide ribosomal RNA is filed under the name uncultured bacterium. Its description in RNAcentral is "partial 16S ribosomal RNA". It matches the Rfam family "Bacterial small subunit ribosomal RNA", at positions 28 to 507 of the family's 1533-position model. The record is from RNAcentral.